Molecule: long non-coding RNA, 491 nt
Filed under: Dromaius novaehollandiae (emu)
Lineage: Eukaryota; Metazoa; Chordata; Aves; Casuariiformes; Dromaiidae
Description: lncRNA (ENSDNVG00000009155.1)
Source: RNAcentral
UUAACACUUCCUGUUUGCCGCAGGAGCCCUGGGAGUGAAUGUCGCAGUCUGCUUGCGAGUCCUCCUUGUGUCUCCAAAGAGCAGCUGUGCAGGUGUGGAAAGGGAGCUGCUCGUGAACCUGGAGUUUAAAAUGGUUGUGGGGACUUGCCCCUUUGGCUGAAUCACUCCGUAAUGAAUGCUUUUGCUGACKGGUUUACUCUGCUGGUUUCCUUUCCCAGUGGGAGGCAGGAGGAGAAUAUAAACUCCCUCUUUUGGAAAGCGCRUGUGCUCGGUGCUGGUGGCUUGGCGUCGAUCAGCGGCUGUGAGGGCGUCGACGCAGCCAGCCCUUCGGCUGUUUUCAGGCAGUGUAUCUCCACUGUCGUUUAUGGAUAUCACGAAGAGACAUCUUAAAACUGUCAGAAAUGGGCUUCAUUGCGUGUGACUAUCCUUAGCUGGCUUCUGGAGGGAACAGGAUCCCAUCUCGCCACCAAGUGCGUGUGCACCCACAGCCG